This 881-nucleotide ribosomal RNA is filed under the name Bacillus pumilus. RNAcentral's name for it is "bacterial SSU rRNA". It matches the Rfam family "Bacterial small subunit ribosomal RNA", at positions 71 to 936 of the family's 1533-position model. The record is from RNAcentral. Lineage: Bacteria; Bacillati; Bacillota; Bacilli; Caryophanales; Bacillaceae.
GAAGGGAGCUUGCUCCCGGAUGUUAGCGGCGGACGGGUGAGUAACACGUGGGUAACCUGCCUGUAAGACUGGGAUAACUCCGGGAAACCGGAGCUAAUACCGGAUAGUUCCUUGAACCGCAUGGUUCAAGGAUGAAAGACGGUUUCGGCUGUCACUUACAGAUGGACCCGCGGCGCAUUAGCUAGUUGGUGGGGUAAUGGCUCACCAAGGCGACGAUGCGUAGCCGACCUGAGAGGGUGAUCGGCCACACUGGGACUGAGACACGGCCCAGACUCCUACGGGAGGCAGCAGUAGGGAAUCUUCCGCAAUGGACGAAAGUCUGACGGAGCAACGCCGCGUGAGUGAUGAAGGUUUUCGGAUCGUAAAGCUCUGUUGUUAGGGAAGAACAAGUGCGAGAGUAACUGCUCGCACCUUGACGGUACCUAACCAGAAAGCCACGGCUAACUACGUGCCAGCAGCCGCGGUAAUACGUAGGUGGCAAGCGUUGUCCGGAAUUAUUGGGCGUAAAGGGCUCGCAGGCGGUUUCUUAAGUCUGAUGUGAAAGCCCCCGGCUCAACCGGGGAGGGUCAUUGGAAACUGGGAAACUUGAGUGCAGAAGAGGAGAGUGGAAUUCCACGUGUAGCGGUGAAAUGCGUAGAGAUGUGGAGGAACACCAGUGGCGAAGGCGACUCUCUGGUCUGUAACUGACGCUGAGGAGCGAAAGCGUGGGGAGCGAACAGGAUUAGAUACCCUGGUAGUCCACGCCGUAAACGAUGAGUGCUAAGUGUUAGGGGGUUUCCGCCCCUUAGUGCUGCAGCUAACGCAUUAAGCACUCCGCCUGGGGAGUACGGUCGCAAGACUGAAACUCAAAGGAAUUGACGGGGGCCCGCACAAGCGGUGGA